This 2418-nucleotide long non-coding RNA is filed under the name Bemisia tabaci. RNAcentral describes it as "lncRNA ENSSWEETPG008376". Lineage: Eukaryota; Metazoa; Arthropoda; Insecta; Hemiptera; Aleyrodidae. The record is from RNAcentral.
CUAAGAAGUACCUCCAUUGUUAAGGCUACAAAAGGUAUAAGCCAGCAGCUGGUAUGUUUUGGGUCAAUUGGACCGCGUUAAGCAGAAAGGAACCAAGCCACAUCAACUAUUGCUAAAUUUAAAAGGGCAAUUUAAUUUCUUACAUGAAAACAAAUGUGUAGAUUUUUGUGCAAAUCUCAGUGAAUUUUCUGCAUGGUACAAAGCAAGUUCUUUAAAAUUUUCAAAGGUCUUUGCACAAAUAUUCUCUUGUAAAAAAUGAAAUUGCCCAGUUAAAUUUGGCAAUAGCUGAUGUGGCUUGGAUCCUUUCUGCUAAACGCAGUCCAUUAUACCUCCUUUUUACUGGGAAACUUGUCAGUCAUUAAUAAAUCAUUAGAUAUAAUAAAACACAUGAGGUAUCAUAAUAUUGAAAUACUGAUCAUCCACUGUAAAUAAUCUGAUGCACUUAAAACAAAGCUUGCAUAGCUGCUGAGUGAUCUUUACCUGUGCGCGGUUUGUUCCAAACGGUCCCAAACUCAAUUUUUUGCAACUGUAGCACCUACUUGCUUGUGAAUUUUUUUUUUUUUCUUCUUUGCUAUUUUUCGCCAAAUCAAUCUUAUUUUAGUUCACUGCUUGGCUUGUUCUGAAAAUACUUUCUUUUUUUAUUUGGGUUUUCCUGCACGGUUGAAAGAAAUUUCCUUGGGCUGGUUCGAAUGGGUCAUAUACUGAGUGAUUUUUGGUUUUAUUUUGUUUUAUGCAUGCAUUCUAAACUGUUCCUCUUUUCACUAUUGAUUUCCCUGCCCAGUCUAAUUAUUUUCACAUUUUCCUCUUCUUAGGAUUCAAACAUUGCCUCUUAUGACAACAAUUUUGAUAGAACGUUUGACGAAUGUUGGAAUGAGAAUUUAGAACAAGAGGAUAUGGAAAUCUCAAAUAUGGAAGUAGUGCUAGAGGAUAAUGUAGACCAACUUUUUAGAAAGCCUUUAAAUACAAUCCCACAGCCAGCAAGUGAAAAUCAACAAAGCUGCAGUCAGCCACCUCCCGCCAAAAAAUUGGCAACCACUGCGAAUCAUCCCUCAUCCGUCAAGCCACCAAUCUUUUUAGUUAAAGACCUUGAUCUAAAAAAAGUUCUUGAAGAGAGCGACGAGGGCCAAGCAAUCCUGAGCCAUUACGAAAUGCAAGGCAAACUGGCACAGAAAUUUUCCACGCUCCUCUGCCAAAUUAUAAUGAGGCAUUGUUUCCAAGGAAAUCCACAUACUCAACUGUUUAAGGCACAAUUUGAAGAUAUCACAUCUUUAAUUGUGAGUUUAUUCCCUAACGAAUCUGCAGACUUAUAUUAUAUUCCCCCUGAACACAUCGGCGGAAAAAAAUAUUGUGCGACUGGAAGACUUGUUGAUAAAUAUAAUGCUCGAAAACAAAUGUUUCGAGAAACGGGGCUCUUACUGAACUCAAAGAAGAAAGGCUCUGUCCCAUCCACAGACCUGCUUGUUCCAGGUGAUGUAACUGUGAAAAUCAAACAGUGGCUGAAAGAUAAUAUCACUGCAGACCCGGCUGUCUAUCUGGAGCACUGGGAAAAUAUUUACAAUUUUAGGCGAACAGAGCUUAUGCAAAGCAAAAUUUCGAUUGAAGUUUACUUGAAGCAGUACCCAGGGUUGGCAGAUUCCAAACUUGGAGUUUUAUUGAUCCGGACCGCAUCAAAGCGACAGCACUGUUCAUACUUCCUUAUUUGUUUCAAAGAGUUGGAAAUGUGAACAGGAAUAAUAAAGAAAACACCUGGGUCCCAUCGCAGCAAGAAGCAGCUUAUGGCUUUAUUCUCCCCAUCAGUAGUCCUGGGACUUUUUCAUCGUCUCUACUAGAAAGAGUAGAUUUUUAUGCAUCCAAAAAAUUGACAUUCCAACCCGUCACAACCGUUAUCGGUUCUCUUGCAGAACCCGUUUCAGAUUGCCGUGUUGUUAUCAACCAGAUUGAGUAUCCCUUUGGAAAGAACCUUGAUGCUGCUUUCGAUUUUUGCUUCAAGUCAUUUUUUGCACUUAAUGCUGAUUUUCCUAAGGAAUCGCAGCAGCCCUACGUAUUUUUUCAAAAUUUUAUUUAUGGUAUUGACAAAAAUAGGUGCAGACUCACAAAAAGUUUAAUUAAUCUCAUUAAAGAAUUAGAGUGAACUUUUAAUUUUACCUUUUUGACAUUGUUAAAAAACAAUUUCUUAUUAUCAAGUAAUGUCUACAUUCAUUUUAUUUUUUCUAAAAAAUUCCAAUUGGCAUCGAAGCAAUGUGCUCUUUGUUCCCUCUUAAAAAUUAGUAUGGCAUAUAUCAUUUAGAAAAAAAGCACUCAAAAAUGUUCAUUAUUUUUACCACUGGAUUCUCAUAAGUUAGUAUCUGCGAUAAAACUGUUUAGUCUCAAUCACCAUUUUCCUAUGUCUUUAUAAGUAUUAUUUACUUACCUGCUUUA